UACGGAGGGUGCGAGCGUUGUUCGGAAUCAUUGGGUUUAAAGGGUGCGUAGGCGGGUCCCCAAGUUGGCGGUGAAAUGCUGCGGCUCAACCGUGGCGCCGCCGCCAAAACUGUGGGCCUAGGGUCGUGGAGGGGCGCGGGGAAUUUGUGGUGUAGCGGUGAAAUGCAUAGAUACCACAAGGAACACCGGUGGCGAAGGCGCCGCGCUGGCCGCCGACCGACGCUGAUGCACGAAAGCGCGGGUAGCGAACAGG
Molecule: ribosomal RNA, 253 nt
Filed under: uncultured bacterium
Lineage: Bacteria
Description: partial 16S ribosomal RNA
Rfam family: Bacterial small subunit ribosomal RNA
Source: RNAcentral